GGAGAGAUGGCUGAGUGGUUGAAAGCACCGCACUCGAAAUGCGGCAUAGGGACAACCCUAUCGAGGGUUCAAAUCCCUCUCUCUCCGCCA
Molecule: transfer RNA, 90 nt
Filed under: Helicobacter pylori
Lineage: Bacteria; Pseudomonadati; Campylobacterota; Epsilonproteobacteria; Campylobacterales; Helicobacteraceae
Also listed under: 1 other name
Description: tRNA-Ser
Rfam family: tRNA
About the family: Transfer RNA (tRNA) molecules are approximately 80 nucleotides in length. Their secondary structure includes four short double-helical elements and three loops (D, anti-codon, and T loops). Further hydrogen bonds mediate the characteristic L-shaped molecular structure. tRNAs have two regions of fundamental functional importance: the anti-codon, which is responsible for specific mRNA codon recognition, and the 3' end, to which the tRNAs corresponding amino acid is attached (by aminoacyl-tRNA synthetases). tRNAs cope with the degeneracy of the genetic code in two manners: having more than one tRNA (with a specific anti-codon) for a particular amino acid; and 'wobble' base-pairing, i.e. permitting non-standard base-pairing at the 3rd anti-codon position.
Source: RNAcentral